This 100-nucleotide ribosomal RNA is filed under the name uncultured bacterium. RNAcentral's name for it is "partial 16S ribosomal RNA". The record is from RNAcentral.
CCUUGUACACACCGCCCGUCAAGCCAUGGAAGUUGAGGGUACCUGAAGUCGAUCACCGCAAGGGAGGCAGCCGGCCACGGUAGGGUCAGCGACUGGGGUG